This 415-nucleotide ribosomal RNA is filed under the name uncultured prokaryote. RNAcentral's name for it is "bacterial SSU rRNA". It matches the Rfam family "Bacterial small subunit ribosomal RNA", at positions 505 to 918 of the family's 1533-position model. The record is from RNAcentral.
GUGUCAGCCGCCGCGGUAAGACGGAGGAGGCAAGCGUUAUCCGGAAUUAUUGGGCGUAAAGGGUCCGCAGGUGGCAGUUCAAGUCUGCAGUCAAAGGUCGGGGCUCAACCCCGGAAAGGCUGUGGAAACUGAACAGCUAGAGUACGGUAGGGGCAGAGGGAAUUCCCAGUGUAGCGGUGAAAUGCGUAGAGAUUGGGAAGAACACCGGUGGCGAAAGCGCUCUGCUAGGCCGAAACUGACACUGAGGGACGAAAGCUAGGGGAGCGAAAGGGAUUAGAUACCCCUGUAGUCCUAGCUGUAAACGAUGGAGACUAGGUGUGGCGGGAGUUGACCCCGGCCGUGCCGGAGCUAACGCAGUAAGUAUCCCGCCUGGGGAGUACGGCCGCAAGGCUAAAACUUAAAUGAAUUGACGGGG